AAUGGAUCGUCAAGAAUACCGAAUUCGCAUACUCUUCCUGCUAUUGUCGGUCAAUUGUGACGGCCACGUGUUCCAAGGUUGGAACGAAACAGAAUUGCUGCAAGGACAAGGGACAAGACUGUAAACAAUAAAGUCUUGGAAGACGCUUUUCAAGCGGCGUUAAGAUUCCGAAAGGAUACCGAAGUGUUUUCCGAGAUGGCUGUCUGGUCUGUGUGAAAAAAUGUAAGGAUUCGCGCGGGGGCGGACCUGGCGUUUCCAGGAUCGUAGAAAUCGUAAAGGACGAUCAAGGUCACCGUGGGGAAACCGUGAUUUCUCUAUGUCGAGACACCGUCGCCCAUCUAACAGAUGCAAUUAGUCGUAUGAUGCGAUAUGUGUGUUCACGGUUGAUCAAGAUAUCUAUAAAACGACCAAUCAAAUGGAACCAUCGGGCUCUAUUAACUGAAAGGACGCUGGAAUAAGAAGGUAGCAAGAACUCCACUUUCCAGUAAUGCGCGUCUUCGGUACGAUACGAGCAACCAAGAAUUUUAUGCCUCGGUCCGACGACACAAACGGGUUCGAGCGUUUCUAGCUUUGUAAGAAGCAUAUCCUUGCGAAUAGCAGGGGACAUAAACGAGGCGUGAGCGAAUACUCUUUUCUUGGAGAGGCCCUAUAAGCGACUGGACAAUAAUGCCACUCUGCGUUCUGAGAACCGCUUGCCAGCGUUUCGAUG
Molecule: unclassified non-coding RNA, 709 nt
Filed under: Bombus terrestris (buff-tailed bumblebee)
Lineage: Eukaryota; Metazoa; Arthropoda; Insecta; Hymenoptera; Apidae
Description: misc RNA ENSBTSG00005029770.1
Source: RNAcentral